This 435-nucleotide long non-coding RNA is filed under the name Brassica napus (rape). Its description in RNAcentral is "long non-coding RNA (BNAP_LNC017859)". The record is from RNAcentral. Lineage: Eukaryota; Viridiplantae; Streptophyta; Magnoliopsida; Brassicales; Brassicaceae.
AAUAAAUCUCAUAGGAGUUAGGAUGAAGAAGUUAUUCCACUUUCAAAUCAGGUGAUCCCAGUUUUCCAGUUUGGGAAUAUGACAACUUCUUCGUCAUUCUAAUCAAACCAGGAUGAAUCGCGAUCUGAGAAGCUGUAUUUGGAUACAUAAAGCAGUGGAGAAUCACCAGGAAGGUGAAUAAAUCUCAUAGGAGUUAGGAUGAAGAAGUUAUCCCACUUUCAAAUCAGGUGAUCCCAGUUUUCCUGUUUGGGAAUAUGACUACUUUUUUGUCAUUCUAAUCAAACCAAGAUGAAUCGCGAUGUGAGAAUCUGGAUUUAGAUCCAUAAAGUAGUGAAGAAUCACCAGGAAGUUGAAUAAAUCUUAUAGGAGUUAGGAUGAAGAAGUUAUCCCACUUUCAAAUCAGGUGAUCCCAUUUUUCCUGUUUGGGAAUAUGAC